CACACAGGUGCUGCAUGGCUGUCGUCAGCUCGUGUCGUGAGAUGUGGGUUAAGUCCCGCAACGAGCGCAACCCUUGCCAUUAGUUGCUACGAAAGGGCACUCUAAUGGGACUGCCGGUGACAAACCGGAGGAAGUGGGGAUGACGUCAAGUCCUCAUGGCCCUUAUAGGUGGGGCUACACACGUCAUACAAUGGCCGGUACAGAGGGUAGCCAACCCGCGAGGGGGAGCCAAUCCCACAAAGCCGGUCGUAGUCCGGAUCGCAGUCUGCAACUCGACUGCGUGAAGUCGGAAUCGCUAGUAAUCGCGGAUCAGCAUGUCGCGGUGAAUACGUUCCCGGGUCCUU
This 344-nucleotide ribosomal RNA is filed under the name uncultured Allobrachymonas sp. RNAcentral describes it as "bacterial SSU rRNA". It matches the Rfam family "Bacterial small subunit ribosomal RNA", at positions 1031 to 1382 of the family's 1533-position model. Lineage: Bacteria; Pseudomonadati; Pseudomonadota; Betaproteobacteria; Burkholderiales; Comamonadaceae. The record is from RNAcentral.